UGCAAGGUUAAGCAGUAAAUGUGGAGCCGUAGCGAAAGCGAGUCUGAAUAGGGCGUUUAGUAUUUGGUCGUAGACCCGAAACCAGGUGAUCUACCCUUGGUCAGGUUGAAGUUCAGGUAACACUGAAUGGAGGACCGAACCGACUUACGUUGAAAAGUGAGCGGAUGAACUGAGGGUAGCGGAGAAAUUCCAAUCGAACCUGGAGAUAGCUGGUUCUCUCCGAAAUAGCUUUAGGGCUAGCCUCAAGUGAUGAUUAUUGGAGGUAGAGCACUGUUUGGACGAGGGGCCCCUCUCGGGUUACCGAAUUCAGACAAACUCCGAAUGCCAAUUAAUUUAACUUGGGAGUCAGAACAUGGGUGAUAAGGUCCGUGUUCGAAAGGGAAACAGCCCAGACCACCAGCUAAGGUCCCAAAAUAUAUGUUAAGUGGAAAAGGAUGUGGCGUUGCCCAGACAACUAGGAUGUUGGCUUAGAAGCAGCCAUCAUUUAAAGAGUGCGUAAUAGCUCACUAGUCGAGUGACACUGCGCCGAAAAUGUACCGGGGCUAAACAUAUUACCGAAGCUGUGGAUUGUCCUUUGGACAAUGGUAGGAGAGCGUUCUAAGGGCGUUGAAGCAUGAUCGUAAGGACAUGUGGAGCGCUUAGAAGUGAGAAUGCCGGUGUGAGUAGCGAAAGACGGGUGAGAAUCCCGUCCACCGAUUGACUAAGGUUUCCAGAGGAAGGCUCGUCCGCUCUGGGUUAGUCGGGUCCUAAGCUGAGGCCGACAGGCGUAGGCGAUGGAUAACAGGUUGAUAUUCCUGUACCACCUAUAAUCGUUUUAAUCGAUGGGGGGACGCAGUAGGAUAGGCGAAGCGUGCGAUUGGAUUGCACGUCUAAGCAGUAAGGCUGAGUAUUAGGCAAAUCCGGUACUCGUUAAGGCUGAGCUGUGAUGGGGAGAAGACAUUGAGUCUUCGAGUCGUUGAUUUCACACUGCCGAGAAAAGCCUCUAGAUAGAAAAUAGGUGCCCGUACCGCAAACCGACACAGGUAGUCAAGAUGAGAAUUCUAAGGUGAGCGAGCGAACUCUCGUUAAGGAACUCGGCAAAAUGACCCCGUAACUUCGGGAGAAGGGGUGCUCUUUAGGGUUAACGCCCAGAAGAGCCGCAGUGAAUAGGCCCAAGCGACUGUUUAUCAAAAACACAGGUCUCUGCUAAACCGUAAGGUGAUGUAUAGGGGCUGACGCCUGCCCGGUGCUGGAAGGUUAAGAGGAGUGGUUAGCUUCUGCGAAGCUACGAAUCGAAGCCCCAGUAAACGGCGGCCGUAACUAUAACGGUCCUAAGGUAGCGAAAUUCCUUGUCGGGUAAGUUCCGACCCGCACGAAAGGCGUAACGAUUUGGGCACUGUCUCAACGAGAGACUCGGUGAAAUCAUAGUACCUGUGAAGAUGCAGGUUACCCGCGACAGGACGGAAAGACCCCGUGGAGCUUUACUGUAGCCUGAUAUUGAAAUUCGGCACAGCUUGUACAGGAUAGGUAGGAGCCUUUGAAACGUGAGCGCUAGCUUACGUGGAGGCGCUGGUGGGAUACUACCCUAGCUGUGUUGGCUUUCUAACCCGCACCACUUAUCGUGGUGGGAGACAGUGUCAGGCGGGCAGUUUGACUGGGGCGGUCGCCUCCUAAAAGGUAACGGAGGCGCUCAAAGGUUCCCUCAGAAUGGUUGGAAAUCAUUCAUAGAGUGUAAAGGCAUAAGGGAGCUUGACUGCGAGACCUACAAGUCGAGCAGGGUCGAAAGACGGACUUAGUGAUCCGGUGGUUCCGCAUGGAAGGGCCAUCGCUCAACGGAUAAAAGCUACCCCGGGGAUAACAGGCUUAUCUCCCCCAAGAGUUCACAUCGACGGGGAGGUUUGGCACCUCGAUGUCGGCUCAUCGCAUCCUGGGGCUGUAGUCGGUCCCAAGGGUUGGGCUGUUCGCCCAUUAAAGCGGUACGCGAGCUGGGUUCAGAACGUCGUGAGACAGUUCGGUCCCUAUCCGUCGUGGGCGUAGGAAAUUUGAGAGGAGCUGUCCUUAGUACGAGAGGACCGGGAUGGACAUACCUCUGGUGUACCAGUUGUCGUGCCAACGGCAUAGCUGGGUAGCUAUGUGUGGACGGGAUAAGUGCUGAAAGCAUCUAAGCAUGAAGCCCCCCUCAAGAUGAGAUUUCCCAACUUCGGUUAUAAGAUCCCUCAAAGAUGAUGAGGUUAAUAGGUUCGAGGUGGAAGCAUGGUGACAUGUGGAGCUGACGAAUACUAAUCGAUCGAAGACUUAAUCAA
RNAcentral lists this ribosomal RNA (2282 nucleotides) under Streptococcus pneumoniae. RNAcentral describes it as "23S ribosomal RNA". It matches the Rfam family "Bacterial large subunit ribosomal RNA", at positions 639 to 2925 of the family's 2925-position model. Lineage: Bacteria; Bacillati; Bacillota; Bacilli; Lactobacillales; Streptococcaceae. The record is from RNAcentral.